GUCAGGAUGGCCGAGCGGUCUAAGGCGCCAGACUCAAGGAUUACGCCUUCCCUUGGUUAAAGGAGGUUUCUGGUCUCUGAGUGGGAGGCGUGGGUUCAAAUCCCACUCCUGACA
Ameiurus melas (black bullhead) is the source of this 114-nucleotide non-coding RNA. The record is from the annotation of a GenBank genome assembly. Lineage: Eukaryota; Metazoa; Chordata; Actinopteri; Siluriformes; Ictaluridae.